CAGCAAAAGAAUGGCAUACGGGAGUUGCU
RNAcentral lists this non-coding RNA (29 nucleotides) under Homo sapiens (human). Lineage: Eukaryota; Metazoa; Chordata; Mammalia; Primates; Hominidae. The record is from RNAcentral.